RNAcentral lists this ribosomal RNA (425 nucleotides) under uncultured bacterium. RNAcentral's name for it is "partial 16S ribosomal RNA". It matches the Rfam family "Bacterial small subunit ribosomal RNA", at positions 354 to 796 of the family's 1533-position model. The record is from RNAcentral.
GUGGGGAAUAUUGGGCAAUGGGCGAAAGCCUGACCCAGCAACGCCGCGUGAAGGAAGAAGGUCUUCGGAUCGUAAACUUCUAUCCUUGGUGAAGAUAAUGACGGUAGCCGAGAAGGAAGCCCCGGCUAACUACGUGCCAGCAGCCGCGGUAAUACGUAGGGGGCAAGCGUUGUCCGGAAUGAUUGGGCGUAAAGGGCGCGUAGGCGGCCUGGUAAGUCUGGAGUGAAAGUCCUGCUUUUAAGGUGGGAAUUGCUGUGGAUACUGUCGGGCUUGAGUGCAGGAGAGGUAAGUGGAAUUCCCGGUGUAGCGGUGAAAUGCGUAGAGAUCGGGAGGAACACCAGUGGCGAAGGCGACUUACUGGACUGUAACUGACGCUGAGGCGCGAAAGUGUGGGGAGCAAACAGGAUUAGAUACCCUAGUAGUCC